Molecule: ribosomal RNA, 450 nt
Filed under: uncultured organism
Description: partial 16S ribosomal RNA
Rfam family: Bacterial small subunit ribosomal RNA
Source: RNAcentral
ACACUCCUACGGGAGGCAGCAGUGGGGAAUAUUGGACAAUGGGCGCAAGCCUGAUCCAGCCAUGCCGCGUGAGUGAUGAAGGCCCUAGGGUUGUAAAGCUCUUUCACCGGUGAAGAUAAUGACGGUAACCGGAGAAGAAGCCCCGGCUAACUUCGUGCCAGCAGCCGCGGUAAUACGAAGGGGGCUAGCGUUGUUCGGAUUUACUGGGCGUAAAGCGCACGUAGGCGGACUAUUAAGUCAGGGGUGAAAUCCCGGGGCUCAACCCCGGAAGUGCCUUGGAUACUGGUAGUCUUGAGUUCGAGAGAGGUGAGUGGAAUUCCGAGUGUAGAGGUGAAAUGCGUAGAUAUUCGGAGGAACACCAGUGGCGAAGGCGGCUCACUGGCUCGAUACUGACGCUGAGGUGCGAAAGCGUGGGGAGCAAACAGGAUUAGAUACCCCUGUAGUCCCAUG